Molecule: long non-coding RNA, 1516 nt
Organism: Daphnia magna
Lineage: Eukaryota; Metazoa; Arthropoda; Branchiopoda; Diplostraca; Daphniidae
Exons: 9
Source: RefSeq, a predicted model, not a curated record
UCGAUCGCUAAUGUACAGUCAAUGGCGGCAUGGCGGAGACGCGCAUUGGAACUUGGAAGUGGAUGCAUGUGCGACUUGAUGUGGCGUUGCAUGUGGGAGGCUCCAUUGGUAAUGUUGGCAGACUGGUCAUUUGAUGAUACGUGUGAACAGUGAUAGUGCUUGGGUGCCUUAAGAGGGAAUCGCAGAACAUAGCCAUAGAGCUAGAAGUCAUAGAAGAUUUUUAAAUUGUUAUUUGAUUUUGUGUUGUUUCAGCAGUAGUAUGUCCUUCAACAAUCUGUUAUGUCCAAACAUGGAAUGAGUCGCAUGUGACUAAGUCAACCAAAUGUGGCAACAACAAUUAGUCAGCAAUGGAAUUAGUCAGUGGAAAACAACACAUUCAUUCCUGAGGAUGGUUUUGAGUUUAUCUAUGCUUAAUGCCAACUGGAAGGAUUCCUCUUUUUCACAGAACUUUACCAUUUUCAUGGUAUACUUAACUGUUUGUCAGCGGAUUGUCACUUGGCAUCAUUAGAAUGGUAUGGUCCAUAUCAGCAGUGUUAUGAUGCACUUCUUAAUACACCAAUCGCUCAGAAAAUAUUCAAAUUGAAAUUAUGGAAAUUUCUGCCCUUCAUGCAGAACUGCACAAUGAUGGGGUAGAAUAAUCGCAAUGUCGUGGUAGUAAUUCGCGAGAGAUAUGCCAAUAGGGUUUCGCUGUUUUCAAUUCGCAAUCGUAAUGGAUUUGAAGAGGAUAUUGAUGGAGUUUUGGUAUAAAAAAGUACAUGUUCGUUGGAAGGGCACCGAAGAGUUCCGGAUCCUUUUACUAUCGCACAUAUUAUGGUAUUUUUACAAAAAUCAUUGAAGUGCUUAUUUGGAACCCAUUUUUUUCUGUGGCCCCGUUUCCCCCUUGACUUAUAAGUAAGUAUAAGUAAAUCCGGAAGAUAAACGUCGAAUUGUUGGCGAUAUGUUUGUCAAAGUGAUAGAUAGAACGGCUAACGAUUUAAAUGUCACUUGGGAUAAUCUACUUCUCGGAUAAGACAUCUAGGGGAGAAAUAACUAACUCCGUAGAAUUUUUAUUGGUAUGUCAGCUGUCCCGUCAGCUGUUCCAUUUCGCGUGGCUUCGGACAGAGGAUGGCUGCUGAAACGAACGUCUCUUCUUGAAAUUUUACCACUGAUUCCGUGUAUUUUGAGUUGCAUCUUGUGAAUUCAAUCAAUGCAGAGUUGUUCAAGGAGCCAUAAAGACUCAUCAUAACGAUUCCGAAAUGGUUCGUCAGUUUCGCAUUUACGGUAGUGUAGUAGAACCUCUUAAAGAUUUCAUUUCCUUAAAGAUGAAGUAAGGUCUUAGGUCGUGAGCUGGGUCUGUCCACAGUAUUACUGGAAUGUUACCCGUUUCCUGGUCCUGGUUAUAUAUUUAUAUUUAGUUAUAUUAUUAUUCUUAAAACCCAGAGGUGUUCUUCACUUUUCAGGGGAUUGAUUGAUGAUACUUGUUGAUUAAUCCAUGAAGAAUGGAUAAGUGGAGGGUAAUAAAAGUUUAAAAUUGUAA